This 369-nucleotide ribosomal RNA is filed under the name Dictyosiphon foeniculaceus. RNAcentral's name for it is "SSU rRNA". It matches the Rfam family "Eukaryotic small subunit ribosomal RNA", at positions 1461 to 1828 of the family's 1831-position model. The record is from RNAcentral. Lineage: Eukaryota; Phaeophyceae; Ectocarpales; Chordariaceae.
UCUGUGAUGCCCUUAGAUGUCCUGGGCCGCACGCGCGCUACACUGAUGCAUGCAACGAGUUUUUUUUCCUGGGUCGAGAGGCCCGGGUAAUCUGUUGAACGUGCAUCGUGAUAGGGAUAGAUCAUUGCAAUUAUUGAUCUUGAACGAGGAAUUCCUAGUAAACGCGAGUCAUCAGCUCGCAUUGAUUACGUCCCUGCCCUUUGUACACACCGCCCGUCGCACCUACCGAUUGAAUCAUUCGGUGAGGAUUCCGGAUUCCGUAGCUUACGCUUUGCGGCGUUUUUUAUGAAAGAAGUUAUCCAAACCUCAUGAUUUAGAGGAAGGUGAAGUCGUAACAAGGUUUCCGUAGGUGAACCUGCGGAAGGAUCA